GUAGCUUAAAUCACUAAAGCAUAACACUGAAAAUGUUAAAAAGGAUAAACAAAUCCCACCAAUAACCCCUCAACACGC
RNAcentral lists this transfer RNA (78 nucleotides) under Osteolaemus sp. FAF-2012. RNAcentral's name for it is "tRNA-Phe". Lineage: Eukaryota; Metazoa; Chordata; Crocodylia; Crocodylidae. The record is from RNAcentral.